AACUCCCAAACCCCUGUGAACAUACCUUAAUGUUGCCUCGGCGGAUCAGCCCGCGCCCCGUAAAACGGGACGGCCCGCCAGAGGACCCAAACUCUAAUGUUUCUUAUUGUAACUUCUGAGUAAAACAAACAAAUAAAUCAAAACUUUCAACAACGGAUCUCUUGGUUCUGGCAUCGAUGAAGAACGCAGCAAAAUGCGAUAAGUAAUGUGAAUUGCAGAAUUCAGUGAAUCAUCGAAUCUUUGAACGCACAUUGCGCCCGCUGGUAUUCCGGCGGGCAUGCCUGUUCGAGCGUCAUUUCAACCCUCAAGCCCCCGGGUUUGGUGUUGGGGAUCGGCUCUGCCUUCUGGCGGUGCCGCCCCCGAAAUACAUUGGCGGUCUCGCUGCAGCCUCCAUUGCGUAGUAGCUAACACCUCGCAACUGGAACGCGGCGCGGCCAUGCCGUAAAACCCCAACUUCUGAAUGUUGACCUCGGAUCAGGUAGGAAUACCCGCUGAACUUAAGCAUAUCAAUAAGCCCGGAGGAAAAG
RNAcentral lists this ribosomal RNA (527 nucleotides) under Fusarium avenaceum. RNAcentral describes it as "eukaryotic LSU rRNA". The stretch from base 142 to 295 matches the Rfam family "5.8S ribosomal RNA". The record is from RNAcentral. Lineage: Eukaryota; Fungi; Ascomycota; Sordariomycetes; Hypocreales; Nectriaceae.